This 458-nucleotide long non-coding RNA is filed under the name Panax ginseng (ginseng). Its description in RNAcentral is "long non-coding RNA (PGIN_LNC006019)". The record is from RNAcentral. Lineage: Eukaryota; Viridiplantae; Streptophyta; Magnoliopsida; Apiales; Araliaceae.
AUCAUUUAAAAUCAUUCAUAUUACAACAUUACAAUAUAAUAGUUGAAUAAUUCAUCCCUACAAUUUUCUUGGCUUGUGCAACCACCUCCUACAAAAUAGAUCAUGAUUUCCGUUGCAAUUAAUAGUCGUUCCAAGGGUAGUAACGAGUCCUGUCAGAACAAAAAAAAACAACAACUUAUAAUCAAUUCUAAGUCAAAGUUGGACAUUUAUUAAGAGAGAGAGUAAAUGGACACACAUACUUGAUUCCCAGAAUAAUACAUUUAGAGAACAAUAAGUCAUUACCAGGUUAGACUCAAUGUAGUGCUGAAUGACAAAGUUUGAUGUAGCUACAACAUGUCACUAAGCAGUCACAUAACUAUCAACAAGUUUCUGAAUAAUUUUACAUAAUUUAUAAUAAUGACUUCCCAAAUAGAAUGCAAUAUACAGGAAACUACACGUUAAGGACUACUGGCGGCAAC